GUACGGGGAAUGACUCUUUGUGUUCUAGAACCAGGUUGCCUGGGCCUGGGCUGUCUGGACCUAGGGAGUGUUGUCCUGCCCCUAUGAUCUGUGUGUGCUUCCUGUUGAGGCGCUGUAUGGACAACCAAGGCCCUUUCAGUAAUUCCUCGGGCCCUACCUGAAGGACUUCCUGCGAACAGUGACCUCCUGAAGGGACAGCUCACUUUUUUUUUUUUUUUUUAGCCUUGGCUCUCUUGGAUUUGCUUUGUAGACCGGGCUAGCCUCGAACUCACAGAGAUCCACCUGCCUCUGCCUCCCUCCGCCUCCCAGUCUGCUGAGACAGCUCAAUUUUACUCAUCACUAGUAUUUUAUGUCCAGCUGCUUGUUUUAUAGCCUUGAAUUCUUCCAGUCAGAAGUGCUUGAAGCCUAGAGAGCUGAAGUGACAGCAACAGUCACACAGGCUUGAAAUAACUGUGACAGGCAGGGCACAGCUUUCCUCCUCGGGAGGCUGAAGGCUCCGUUUGCCUGGGGCCUGUGAGCGACUGAUAAGCUGCGGAGAGGGAGGAGAAAGAACCUCGGUGUCAGCCGCCCUCCCCUUCUGAGAAUGUUCGAGUCUCCUUAUCCUGUCAGAGCCUGGGAGCCGUCCUCAGCUUCAAGUGGGCGUGAGCUGAGUGAUAAAGUAGCCAGGGAAUAGAAAGAACUUCCUUGAGCACUUGGUUGGGAGUUGGCCCCCCGGAAAACAGGCCUGGUGGCAAAUCUACAACACCAGCUCUCGGGGAUUUGAGACAGGAGACUGUUCAAGGCCAGCCUGGGGCACAUGAGAUCCUGCCUCAAAAACAAAGCCAGCAAACAAAAGGUAGGCUGGCAAGAUGGCCUUUUGGCAAAGGCUCCGGCUGCCAAGGCUGAGUUAAAUUCCCCAGGACCUACAUGGCAGAAGGAGAAAAUCAACCUCCACAAACCGACCGCUGACCCACACAUAUGGGAGGAAGGAGAGUUUUGUUGCAGUGUGGGGUUGGCGGCAGUCCGGCCAGGAGAACCUUUGCCCAGAGGAAGAGGCCGCCUCCUGCUGACGCAGUCCUGGGGUGUCUGGAGAUGCCUGGCGUCUCGUCCCCUAUUCCCAAGAGGCACCCUUUCCCAUGAGUGAAAUGGAGCUACGUGACCUGCUCAUCAACAACACGCUUCAAACAGCUGGCGCAGGACUGGAAGACAGCAGCACUGGUUUGCUGAAGACGGGAAAGAGCCGAGCUGCCGCCUCUGCAAAAUCCAGGGAAAAGGCGGUGUUUGGCGCCACCUAGUGUUACAGAGCGGAGGGGACCCGAGGCACAGCUCGGAGCCAUCAGGGCUGCCAGGGAUUAAUAACCCCUAUAAAAAAAGGAUUAGGGGUUGUGGGGAAGGAGCUUUCAGGAGAGACUGUCCUGGGUUGCAUAGCCAGAUUGCACAACUUGCUAAGAGUCACUAAAUAAAGAUCAUUGUCCUGCU
This is a long non-coding RNA of Meriones unguiculatus (Mongolian gerbil), 1458 nucleotides long. RefSeq lists it as uncharacterized. NCBI's taxonomy places the organism in Eukaryota, Metazoa, Chordata, Mammalia, Rodentia, Muridae. The record is from RefSeq and is a predicted model, not a curated record. The transcript is spliced from 4 exons.